RNAcentral lists this ribosomal RNA (253 nucleotides) under uncultured bacterium. Its description in RNAcentral is "partial 16S ribosomal RNA". It matches the Rfam family "Bacterial small subunit ribosomal RNA", at positions 524 to 776 of the family's 1533-position model. The record is from RNAcentral.
UACGUAGGGUGCAAGCGUUAAUCGGAAUUACUGGGCGUAAAGCGUGCGCAGGCGGUUUUGUAAGUCAGAUGUGAAAUCCCCGGGCUUAACCUGGGAACUGCGUUUGAAACUACAAGGCUAGAGUGUGGCAGAGGGGGGUGGAAUUCCACGUGUAGCAGUGAAAUGCGUAGAGAUGUGGAGGAGCACCGAUGGCGAAGGCAGCCCCCUGGGUUAACACUGACGCUCAGGCACGAAAGCGUGGGGAGCAAACAGG